AUAAGACUCUGGCUGUGAGCACCAUGUCUUAGGAGGACAGGGGAGGAGGGCAGAAACUGUUCCGUCAGCUGAAAGACUGAAAGUUCCACACUCAAGUUGACUUCCCAGUCCAAGGGCUGCGAACUCGUUCUGAACCAGAGAUUUUGGAAGAGAAGGCAGAGAGAGAGAGCUGAAAAGGACCGGAUCACAAGGGCUGUGAAUGCUGUGUUGAUGAAUUUGAAAUUGAUGCAAAAAGCAGUGAGGAGCUGCUCAAGGAUUCUGUGAGAGACGUUUGGAUGCCUGCUCACUGUGCCGGAGGAGUCCAGCUCUCUCCCUCUCCUACUCCUGGAGCACUGCCUGGUGUUGGCUCAGGUAUCUCACCUCCCUGAAUAGACUACAAGCUGCUUGAGGACAGGCUUCAGUCGGAACGUUCCUUCUGCAUCGGCGCACGGUCACGCACACAUCAGAUGCUCAAUUAGGGUUUGCUGAGUCACUGCACGGUGGCGUUCCCAAAGACUUUCCUCCAACUCCACCUCUCCCUCUCACGUGCCAUAGUAACCCGCCCUGCACAACCUCCGGCUCCCACCAACCAGGGGCAAGAGUGAAAACGGGACAGGUAUAAGAAAGGCGGAGCGCACUGAAACAUAAGAAGCCAGUUCUAGGAUCGUUAGUCUUUUAAUAUAUUAUUCUGAAAAGAAAGGAAUUAAAAAAAAGUUCCUGACA
This is a long non-coding RNA of Balaenoptera ricei (Rice's whale), 702 nucleotides long. RefSeq lists it as uncharacterized. Lineage: Eukaryota; Metazoa; Chordata; Mammalia; Artiodactyla; Balaenopteridae. The record is from RefSeq and is a predicted model, not a curated record. The transcript is spliced from 3 exons.